CGAGCGAAUGAUGAAGAAGCUUGCUUCUUCUGAUUUAGCGGCGGACGGGUGAGUAACACGUGGGCAACCUACCUAGUAGAUUGGGAUAACUCCGGGAAACCGGGGCUAAUACCGAAUAAUCCAUUUUGUCACAUGGCAAAAUGCUGAAAGGCGGUUUCGGCUGUCACUACUAGAUGGGCCCGCGGUGCAUUAGCUAGUUGGUGGGGUAAUGGCCUACCAAGGCAACGAUGCAUAGCCGACCUGAGAGGGUGAUCGGCCACAUUGGGACUGAGACACGGCCCAAACUCCUACGGGAGGCAGCAGUAGGGAAUCUUCCACAAUGGACGAAAGUCUGAUGGAGCAACGCCGCGUGAGUGAUGAAGGUUUUCGGAUCGUAAAACUCUGUUGUAAGGGAAGAACAAGUACGUUAGUAACUGAACGUACCUUGACGGUACCUUAUUAGAAAGCCACGGCUAACUACGUGCCAGCAGCCGCGGUAAUACGUAGGUGGCAAGCGUUGUCCGGAUUUAUUGGGCGUAAAGCGCGCGCAGGUGGUUUCUUAAGUCUGAUGUGAAAGCCCACGGCUCAACCGUGGAGGGUCAUUGGAAACUGGGAGACUUGAGUGCAGAAGAGGAAAGUGGAAUUCCAAGUGUAGCGGUGAAAUGCGUAGAGAUUUGGAGGAACACCAGUGGCGAAGGCGACUUUCUGGUCUGUAACUGACACUGAGGCGCGAAAGCGUGGGGAGCAAACAGGAUUAGAUACCCUGGUAGUCCACGCCGUAAACGAUGAGUGCUAAGUGUUAGGGGGUUUCCGCCCCUUAGUGCUGCAGCUAACGCAUUAAGCACUCCGCCUGGGGAGUACGGCCGCAAGGUUG
RNAcentral lists this ribosomal RNA (853 nucleotides) under Viridibacillus arvi. RNAcentral's name for it is "bacterial SSU rRNA". It matches the Rfam family "Bacterial small subunit ribosomal RNA", at positions 63 to 896 of the family's 1533-position model. The record is from RNAcentral. Lineage: Bacteria; Bacillati; Bacillota; Bacilli; Caryophanales; Caryophanaceae.